This is a long non-coding RNA of Zingiber officinale, 383 nucleotides long. RefSeq lists it as uncharacterized. The transcript has 4 exons. NCBI's taxonomy places the organism in Eukaryota, Viridiplantae, Streptophyta, Magnoliopsida, Zingiberales, Zingiberaceae. The record is from RefSeq and is a predicted model, not a curated record.
GCUCGCCGGAGCUAGCUGAGGCGGCCAACGACGAAGGGAAAAUAACCCUAGUUGCUGUCCUCAUUUCCAGCAGCCACAUAAAACCCUUAGAAGAUCCGAGCUCGAGUGGAGCACGGUGACCUGCCGAUACUCGGAGAUUUUUGCUGUAUAUAAGUUUUGCAGACACAGAGAUCCUUUUGAUAUUACUGUUGAUUUUGGACUUUCAUAUAGAGUUGCUCAGAGAUCUCGACGUGCUGAUUUUCUGGCAAUGCCACGAGCCCGUGGUCGCGGUUGGGGCGGUAGCCGUGCCCGUAGUCGCAGGCGUGGUUACGACAGUGGUAGUGGUCGCGGUCGUGGUCGUGCAUGUCAGCGUGCCACUACUACUGAUCUUGGUUUGGAUGAGG